This 62-nucleotide small nuclear RNA is filed under the name Nomascus leucogenys (northern white-cheeked gibbon). RNAcentral describes it as "U7 small nuclear RNA". It matches the Rfam family "U7 small nuclear RNA". Rfam says of the family: Animal histone pre-mRNAs are spliced by a different mechanism than nuclear pre-mRNAs and self-splicing introns. This processing involves the U7 snRNP, which contains only one RNA species: U7. The record is from Rfam by way of RNAcentral. Lineage: Eukaryota; Metazoa; Chordata; Mammalia; Primates; Hylobatidae.
GACAGUUACAGCUCUUUUAGAAUUUGUCUAGCAGGCUUUCCAGUUUUUAUCAGAAAGCCUCC